AGUGAACGCUGGCGGUAGGCCUAACACAUGCAAGUCGAACGGCAGCACAGUAAGAGCUUGCUCUUACGGGUGGCGAGUGGCGGACGGGUGAGGAAUACAUCGGAAUCUACUUUUUCGUGGGGGAUAACGUAGGGAAACUUACGCUAAUACCGCAUACGACCUACGGGUGAAAGCAGGGGAUCUUCGGACCUUGCGCGAUUGAAUGAGCCGAUGUCGGAUUAGCUAGUUGGCGGGGUAAAGGCCCACCAAGGCGACGAUCCGUAGCUGGUGUGAGAGGAUGAUAAGCCACACUGGAACGGAGACACGGUCCAGACUCCUACGGGAGGCAGCAGUGGGGAAUAUUGGACAAAGGGCGCAAGCCUGAUCCAGCCAUACCGCGUGGGUGAAGAAGGCCUUCGGGUUGUAAAGCCCUUUUGUUGGGAAAGAAAAGCAGCAGGUUAAUACCACGCUGUUCUGACGGUACCCAAAGAAUAAGCACCGGCUAACUUCGUG
RNAcentral lists this ribosomal RNA (492 nucleotides) under uncultured bacterium. Its description in RNAcentral is "partial 16S ribosomal RNA". It matches the Rfam family "Bacterial small subunit ribosomal RNA", at positions 29 to 507 of the family's 1533-position model. The record is from RNAcentral.